AGGGUGUAAACGCUGCAGACUUGGUGUUGGAGGCCCUUUGGGGGCAUUCAGUGCCGGAGAGAAGUUGUUAAGUCUGCUACUUGGGGAGUACGUCCGCAAGGAUGAAACUUAAAGGAAUUGGCGGGGGGAGCACCGCAACGGGAGGAGCGUGCGGUUUAAUUGGAUUCAACACCGUAAAACUCACCAGGGAAGACUGUUACAUGAAGGCCGAGAUGAAGACUCUGCUAGAUUUUUCAGAGAGGAGGUGGCAUGGCGUCAGUGACU
This 264-nucleotide ribosomal RNA is filed under the name uncultured archaeon. RNAcentral describes it as "partial 16S ribosomal RNA". It matches the Rfam family "Archaeal small subunit ribosomal RNA", at positions 748 to 1008 of the family's 1478-position model. The record is from RNAcentral.